RNAcentral lists this unclassified non-coding RNA (329 nucleotides) under soil metagenome. RNAcentral's name for it is "partial contains 5.8S ribosomal RNA, internal transcribed spacer 2, and large subunit ribosomal RNA". The stretch from base 1 to 120 matches the Rfam family "5.8S ribosomal RNA", at positions 35 to 154 of the family's 154-position model. The record is from RNAcentral.
GAUGAAGAACGUAGCGAACUGCGAUAAGUAAUGUGAAUUGCAGAAUUCAGUGAAUCAUCGAAUCUUUGAACGCACAUUGCGCCCCUUGGUAUUCCGAGGGGCAUGCCUGUUCGAGCGUCAUUAUAACCCCUCAAGCUCAGCUUGGUGUUGGGGCCUGCUGCACUGGCAGCCCUUAAAAUCAGUGGCGGCGCCAUCUGGCUCUAAGCGUAGUAAUUCUUCUCGCUAUGGAGUCCUGGUGGAUGCUUGCCAUCAACCCCCAAUUUUUCUAUGGUUGACCUCGGAUCAGGUAGGGAUACCCGCUGAACUUAAGCAUAUCAAUAAGCGGAGGA